GGAUCGUUAUUAUCAACCCAANAAGCUUCGACCAAGGUUCGACUCGAGCGCCAGCGAGAGAGCGUUGCCGCAGGCAACGACCCGAAGGGCGAAGCGCGCAGCGCUGAGUAAUCCUUCCCCCACCA
RNAcentral lists this small RNA (125 nucleotides) under Escherichia coli. Its description in RNAcentral is "RtT sRNA". It matches the Rfam family "RtT RNA". Rfam says of the family: This family represents a bacterial cis-regulatory element known as RtT RNA. The exact function of RtT is unknown although it is thought that it may be involved in changing the cellular response in relation to amino acid starvation. The record is from RNAcentral. Lineage: Bacteria; Pseudomonadati; Pseudomonadota; Gammaproteobacteria; Enterobacterales; Enterobacteriaceae.